This 116-nucleotide transfer RNA is filed under the name Candidatus Bathyarchaeota archaeon. Its description in RNAcentral is "tRNA-OTHER". It matches the Rfam family "tRNA". From Rfam's summary of the family: Transfer RNA (tRNA) molecules are approximately 80 nucleotides in length. The record is from RNAcentral. RNAcentral also lists the same sequence under 2 other names. Lineage: Archaea; Thermoproteati; Candidatus Bathyarchaeota.
GCGGGGGUACCCGAGCAUGGUCUAAAAAACAGGAUUAACCUGUUUUGAUUAUAGGGGCAGGACUGAGGCUCCUGUGGUGUAGACCUUCGUGGGUUCGAAUCCCACCCCCCGCACCA